RNAcentral lists this unclassified non-coding RNA (327 nucleotides) under soil metagenome. RNAcentral describes it as "partial contains 5.8S ribosomal RNA, internal transcribed spacer 2, and large subunit ribosomal RNA". The stretch from base 1 to 120 matches the Rfam family "5.8S ribosomal RNA", at positions 35 to 154 of the family's 154-position model. The record is from RNAcentral.
GAUGAAGAACGUAGCGAAAUGCGAUAAGUAAUGUGAAUUGCAGAAUUCAGUGAAUCAUCGAAUCUUUGAACGCACAUUGCGCCCCUUGGUAUUCCGAGGGGCAUGCCUGUUCGAGCGUCAUUAUCACCCCCCAAGCUUUGCUUGGUGUUGGGGCCUGCUGUAAUAGGCAGCCCUUAAAAUCAGUGGCGGUGCUUCAAGGCUCUAAGCGUAGUAAUUCUCCUCGCUAUAGUGUCUAGUGGUUGCCAGCCAGAACCCCCCAAUUUUCAUGAUUGACCUCGGAUCAGGUAGGGAUACCCGCUGAACUUAAGCAUAUCAAUAAGCGGAGGA